UACGUAGGGGGCAAGCGUUGUCCGGAAUCAUUGGGCGUAAAGAGCGUGUAGGCGGCCCGAUAAGUCUGCUGUGAAAGUCCAGGGCUCAACCCUGGGAUGCCGGUGGAUACUGUCGGGCUCGAGUCCGGAAGAGGCGAGUGGAAUUCCUGGUGUAGCGGUGAAAUGCGCAGAUAUCAGGAGGAACACCAAUGGCGAAGGCAGCUCGCUGGGACGUGACUGACGCUGAGACGCGAAAGCGUGGGGAGCAAACAGG
RNAcentral lists this ribosomal RNA (253 nucleotides) under uncultured bacterium. RNAcentral describes it as "partial 16S ribosomal RNA". It matches the Rfam family "Bacterial small subunit ribosomal RNA", at positions 524 to 776 of the family's 1533-position model. The record is from RNAcentral.